CAAAAUAAGGACCGGCUAAUUCCGUGCCAGCGGCCGCGGUAAUACGGAAGGUCCAAGCGUUAAUCGGAAUUACUGGGCGUAAAGCGCGCGUAGGUGGUUUAUUAAGUUGGGUGUGAAAUCCCCGGGCUCAACCUGGGAACUGCAUCCAAAACUGAUUCACUAGAGUACGAUAGAGGGAGGUAGAAUUCACAGUGUAGCGGUGGAAUGCGUAGAUAUUGUGAAGAAUACCAAUGGCGAAGGCAGCCUGCUGGAUCUGUACUGA
Molecule: ribosomal RNA, 262 nt
Filed under: uncultured bacterium
Lineage: Bacteria
Description: partial 16S ribosomal RNA
Rfam family: Bacterial small subunit ribosomal RNA
Source: RNAcentral